RNAcentral lists this ribosomal RNA (271 nucleotides) under uncultured bacterium. RNAcentral describes it as "partial 16S ribosomal RNA". It matches the Rfam family "Bacterial small subunit ribosomal RNA", at positions 524 to 794 of the family's 1533-position model. The record is from RNAcentral.
UACGAAGGGUGCUAGCGUUGUUCGGAAUUACUGGGCGUAAAGCGUACGUAGGCGGCUUGGUAAGUCGAUCGUGAAAGCCCCAAGCUCAACUUGGGAACUGCGAUCGAUACUGCUUCGCUUGAGUUUGGUCGGGGAUGGUGGAAUUUCUAGUGUAGGGGUGAAAUCCGUAGAUAUUAGAAGGAAUAUCGGUGGCGAAGGCGACCAUCUAGGCCAAUACUGACGCUAAGGUACGAAAGCGUGGGGAGCAAACAGGAUUAGAAACCCGUGUAGU